CUCGAUCCGUCCCCCGCUGCCGCCAACGCGUGACCUGGGGCCGUGCGAUGCAGAAACUGAGGCACAGAGAAGGGAAGCGACUUGCCCAAGGUCACAUAGCAGGCUACUGGCAGAGCCAGAUAAGAACCCCUCCUCUCUGGAGUCCCAGGCCAGAGCUGUCUCCAUCAGGCUAGCACUGUUUGUAGUGUGCAUGACUCUUAUAGUUAUUUUUCUGUUUUCUAAGUACAGUAAUUCAGUUAACUCUGUAAAGGGAUCCCUGCAGCCUGACUGAAGGGCUCCUGCCUGGAAGACACACCUCCAUGCUGCCAUUAAAUUAAUUCAAACUGGAAAUGUUACCCAGCAUGUGCUUGCUCUCUCUCCCCCCUUCCAUGAUCUAACCCCUGUAAAUAUCCGCCUCUGUACACAGGGGACUGGUGCACUCUUCUGUCACACAGCCUCCUCUCAGGGCCUCCUGAAUAUCUGAUAUUGAUGUUAAAACCACUCUGAGAUGCAGAGAGCACCUCACUACUCUCACAGUGACAGGCGCAGGCUCAGGCAGCGUCGCUGUGUUGGUUACACUCAAGUGAGGUUUAUGCUUUUCUUUGCAGCCAUGAAGGCUAGUAACUGCCUUUGUUCCAAGGAAAGCUGUGAUCGCAGGCCAUGAGGAACAGGGCUCUAGGCAGAGGCCUCUAAUUCAUCCCGGGGGGGGGAGGAGGAGAGGAGAAUUCCUGUGGUGGUGGCUGGGAAGUGCUGUGGACUCUGGUGUGCAGGGUUGGUGUAUUUGUGGGGAUCACGGAUGGAUUCACAAAGGUUGCUUGUGCAGAGUGUGUGAACCAAUUUUAUUAUUUUAAAUUUGCAUAUGCAAAUAUUGUGCAUUCACACUGGGAUUUUCACAGGCGACUGAAACUCUCUCAGGCUUCUUUGGGAAUCCCAGGCUAAUUUCCCUAGGAACAUCUGAAAACAUUUUCACCAAUAAAUGAACAGCCUCCCAAAUCCCUGCAAAACAAUGAAUAACCGGCCCGUCAUUUCAUUAAUAGAAAAUGAUAUGCACAAAUUUUGUUAUCCCAAAUGAAGUUCCCAAGCACUUCAAACACACUGGUGUAAAUAAAACAAUAAAACAAGUUUAUUAACUACAAUUUGAAGUGACUACAAGUAGUGAGGCAUAAAAGUCAGAAUUGGUUACAAAGAAAUAAAGGGCAAAACACAAACUAAUACCUAAUUUAACAAGCUAAGCAAAUUCAAAGUGAAACUCUCUCUCAUCAUAUUUUCCCUACAGUCUUACUGGCUGAAUCUUCCAGCCAGGAUCUCUCUCCCUCAUCCAGUAAUGCUUCCUUUGUCUUUCAAGUGUUGUCAAUGAGUAUGGAUGAAGGGAGAGAUGAUUUGUGUCCUCUCUUCUCAUUUCUUAUAGUUAUUUUCCUUUUUAAAAGUCAUCUCCAGCUGAGGUUCGGGAGCAGAAAGUCUGUUUGCAUGGGAAGGCCCAGCUGUUCCUUUGCCAAGAUGUAAAUUUCCCACUCACACCCUUCUUCCUGCCAAAGAAUGUCGGCUUAAUCAGGUGAUAGUCCAUUUGUUUAUGUUGGCACCUGGCCGAGACAUCAGUUUGCCUUUUGUCUCUGAGGAACUGGUUUGAGCCUGAUUUUCUAAACUUGGAACAUGUCUCAGCAGUGUCAUACAGUAUAAUCUUAUGACUUUACAUACAAUGUUGUCACACAUAUUUUACCAGGACAGUAAUGACCAGCAAAUUAUGAGUUUUCAAAUGAUACCUCAAAAGUCGUAUUUUGUACAAAAUGUAUCAUAGUCUUGUAAAAGUGGUGAACAUAAGGGUACAGACUGUAACACCUUCUUUGACAGGGUAACAAGCCUUGUGGAUUGGGGGAAGCAGUAGAUAUGAUAUAUCUUGAUAUUAGAAAGGCUUUUGAUACUGUCUCGCAUGAGCUUCUCAUAAACAAACUAGGGAGAGAGCCUAAACACUACUAUAAACUGGAUGCAUAACUGAUUGGAAAACCAUACUUAGAGAGUAGUUGUCAAUGGUUCACAGUCAAGCUGAGGUCCCACAGAGAUCUGUCCUGGGUCUUACUCUAUUCAAUAGCUUCAUAAAUGAUUUGGAUAAUGGCACAGAGAGUACAUUUAAAGAUGUGGAUGAUACCAAGCUGGGUUGCAUGCACUUUGGAGGACAGGAUUAGAAUUCAAAAUGAUCAGGACAAACUGGAGAAAUGGUCUAAAAUAAAUAGGAUGCAAUUCAAUAAGGACAAAUGCAAAGUACUCCACUUAGGAAGGAACAAUCAGUUGCACACAUACAAAAUGGGAAAUGACUGCCUAGGAAGGAGUACUGCAGGAAAAGAUCUGGGGAUUAUAUCAGAUCAGUAACUAAAUAUGAGCCAACAAAGUAAUAGUUGCAAAAAAAGUGAACAUCAUUCUGGGAUGUAUUAGUAGCAGUGUUGUAAGAAAGGCAGAAUAAGUAAUUCUUCCACUCUACUCUGUACUGAUAAGGCGUCAACUGGAGUAUUGUGUCCAGUUCUGGGCACCAUGCUUCAGGAAAUGUGUGGACAGAAUGGAGAAAAUCCAGAGAAGAGCAAAAAAAAAUGUAAGCAGAGUCAGGAUGAGCUCUACCCUGACAUCUGGUGGUGAAUUAUGGCGAGUGUGGAAAAGAAUUCCAGGGGCUGAUCUGGUUUGCAUAGGCACACCCACUCGCCUGGCAUGAAACAACAGCAACUGAAAGUGGUUACUUUGGCUGGUGUGGGAUCCCCAGUUUUCUCUGUUAUUGGGGCAGGAAGAAUAAAGUUUUGUUACCCUGAUUCUGUGAAUCAAGGCCAGUGGAACUGUGUAUGACAGAAGGACUGAGUGAGUCCUUCACCAUUACCUAAGUAGCACUUGCUUGACAAGGGGCAUGGGUUACAAAACCCAGUGAAUUGAGAGAGGUUGGGGGUAGGUGUUUGUAUCUGGGGGUGUGGGUGCCUUUUCAGAGCCUGAAACACCAAUUGCAUCUCUUCUUUUCUCCACUGUUGAAUGUCAAAGCUAACUUUGAUUCUAUUAGGAGACUAAUUACAAGCUGCUGAGCUGAGUUCACUUUCAGCAAAUAGUGCACCAGCACUGGGUCUCCCCUACUACUUGCUGAAAUCACAAAAGAGCUAAAGUUAUUAAGAGCUGAGAUCACUGAGGCUGUGUUAACUAGUUGGGGAGCCUGAAGCUAUAUUGCUAAGCGGCUGGCGGAGCAGCUAGCAGAGUGGACCCUUGUGGGGAUGAGCGGAGCAGUGAGCGGAGCCGAGCCGAGCCGAGCGGCUCACAGGUCGGUGAGCGGAGCAGAGCAGCUGCCAGAGUAGUUCGUGGGACGGCAGGAGUGGCUCACGGGACAGCGGGUGGAGUGGAGCGGCUUGUGGUGAAGGCUGCGGCGGAACCCCACAGAGAAGCAGCUGGUCGGCCUCAGAUCAUGUAAGGUGCCCCUUAACACCCUGCGCGUGCCCCCCCUUGAACUCUGGGGCUGCAGUGACCAGGGACAGAGACUUUGGGGGAUUGUUGGACUCUUGGGACUUUGGUGAUUCUUGGGUUGCUGGAUCCAAGAGACUUUGGAGUUGUUGGACUUUUGGGACUUUGGUGAUUCUUGGGUUGCUGGAUCCAAGAACCAACAGGAAAGGACACGGCCCAAUCUGCUGGGGUGGGUCGUCGCUCAUGGUUUGGUCUAUGAACUCUAGUUGUGGUGUUUUCCCAAUUUAAUGCUAUGUCAUUUACGUCAUGUUAUUAAACAUUUUCUGCUACA
Malaclemys terrapin pileata is the source of this 3730-nucleotide long non-coding RNA. RefSeq lists it as uncharacterized. The transcript has 2 exons. NCBI's taxonomy places the organism in Eukaryota, Metazoa, Chordata, Testudines, Emydidae. The record is from RefSeq and is a predicted model, not a curated record.